GAUGAACGCUGGCGGCGUGCCUAAUACAUGCAAGUCGAGCGAACAGACGAGGAGCUUGCUCCUCUGACGUUAGCGGCGGACGGGUGAGUAACACGUGGAUAACCUACCUAUAAGACUGGGAUAACUUCGGGAAACCGGAGCUAAUACCGGAUAAGAUAUUGAACCGCAUGGUUCAAUAGUGAAAGACGGCUUUGCUGUCUCUUAUAGAUGGAUCCGCGCCGCAUGAGCUAGUUGGUAAGGUAACGGCUUACCAAGGCAACGAUGCGUAGGCGACCUGAGAGGGUGAUCGGCCACACUGGAGCUGAGACACGGUCCAGACUCCUACGGGAGGCAGCAGUAGGGAAUCUUCCGCAAUGGGCGAAAGCCUGACGGAGCAACGCCGCGUGAGUGAUGAAGGUCUUCGGAUCGUAAAACUCUGUUAUUAGGGAAGAACAAAUGUGUAAGUAACUAUGCACGUCUUGACGGUACCUAAUCAGAAAGCCACGGCUAACUACGUG
RNAcentral lists this ribosomal RNA (497 nucleotides) under uncultured bacterium. RNAcentral describes it as "partial 16S ribosomal RNA". It matches the Rfam family "Bacterial small subunit ribosomal RNA", at positions 28 to 507 of the family's 1533-position model. The record is from RNAcentral.